Molecule: long non-coding RNA, 283 nt
Filed under: Ananas comosus (pineapple)
Lineage: Eukaryota; Viridiplantae; Streptophyta; Magnoliopsida; Poales; Bromeliaceae
Description: long non-coding RNA (ACOM_LNC005550)
Source: RNAcentral
AUGCCUGAACAAUAAAGCAAGAAAUAUGCUCAACGUAAAUCAUACAAGUAUGCAAGUUCUUUGUUCUUUACUCUUUAUUCUUUAAUCUUUGUUCUUUGUUCUUUAAUCUCACGGCUAACCCGGGGGUUUCGCCACAUUAACUUGCCCACAUUAAGUCCAUCAUCGCGGGCCCUCAGCUGCCUCCCGCUAAGACCGUCCUCGGGUUGACUCCAACCCGUGAUGCAAAACUCCGGAGCGCAUCGCUCGAGAGGGAGCCACCGCCCUCGAGCACGGAACGCAUAGC